RNAcentral lists this long non-coding RNA (1508 nucleotides) under Lupinus angustifolius (narrow-leaved blue lupine). RNAcentral describes it as "long non-coding RNA (LANG_LNC001206)". Lineage: Eukaryota; Viridiplantae; Streptophyta; Magnoliopsida; Fabales; Fabaceae. The record is from RNAcentral.
UUUUAAACCAUAACAUUAUUCUUUAUUCUCUUCUCUUUCUUUUUUAUUUCUCUCCUACCAAACAAUAUCAAAAUCUACUCUCUUUCUCACCUUUUUCUUUCUUUUUAUUUUCUCUCUCAUGUAUUUCUUUCUUCUUACUUUCUCUCCUAAACUAAACAUAGGCUUAGAUUAACUUAGCUUAUCUAAUUGAGUCAUAUCCAUAUUUGUCAGCUUAAUUUGUUGAGCUGCUGAACAUAAACUUGUCAGCAGCACAAUUUUGAUCUCUCACUCCCCUUCAAUCACUUUAUCUAUAAAAUAAAAUAAAUUGAGCGCAGCCACUUAUAAAUUAUAUAUUUGAUCCUCUGCAACAAUGUAGAAUGGCGUAUUCAUCUUCCCUCCAUUUUUAUGAUCUAACGUCAACAGUAGUGUUUGUGACCCAUUUGUCUCCGAUUGAAAAAUGAAAGUUCUAUACUUUUCUUUAUGAACACAUGCUACAAAUAUUUAACUGAUUUUUUUUACCGCCCAAUAUUGAAAUAUAUUUUGAACUAUUGGGUUGAUAUUGUACUAGACUAAUUAUACUUAGAGUUAGUUUUAGUAGUUUUAGUUAGUUUUACAUGUAUAUAUAGUUUACUUUCAUUGUAAACUAUCACUCAUUCAAUUCAAUGAUAAUAACGAGAAAUGUAUGAAGGCUAUGAUUUUCUAUUCGUUCUCUUUUUCUUCCUUCUUUUUUGUUCAUCAUUUCUUUCUCUUUCAUGCAUGACUUCUACCAUUUUAAGAUGGUAUUAGAGCGUAAUUAUUAUUUUGGUAGCUUCUGCUUGUGGCUCCAUCUUUCAAGAUUCAACAAAUAAUCAUCGUUAUUCUCAGAGAGCCACACAUGUUAAACAACAACUUUCUUACAAGAGGGUCAUAUAUCUACUAGAGGAAGACUUUGAUAUUCUACUAUUGAUAAUUUCAUCCUAUACUUUCUCGGCCUCAAAAAGGCUAUGUUCCAAGGCCAUCAUAUCAAGCUUCAUACUCUACUUCAAAUUGAGACUUAAUGUCAUGGAUGAAGGCGACCAAUUAUUGAAGAUUAUCUACCGAUCGUAAAUGGUCAGAAAUGUUGGAUUUCUUUGAAAUAUAUUAUUUUCAUUCUUGAUUAUGUUUUCAAUGAAGCAAUGUAUUUCAAGAUUCUAACUCUUUCUUUUGCAAGACUUUCUAAAACAUUCAUUUUGUUGUUGCUACACUUUUGACUGCUCAAAACAACAAUGACUAUUCUUUUAAGCCUUCCAAAUCAAGUUCCAAUUAUUAUAGUUGGUUAUGUUUCUUUUCUUUCCCUUCGUGUACAUGAAAGUUUUAAAGCGUUGGGCUGUGAUUUUACUAAAGAUGAAUUCUUCAUCAUUUACUCCCCAAUUAUUUCUUUUCUUUACUUGUCUAUUUUCUUUACCUCUAUCUCAUUAAACACACAACAUUAUGGUGUAUAAUUUUUCUCAUUGAAGCAUCAUAUUAUGAUCAAGAUUAAGAUCUGUUUUUCUCUCUUUCAUCCAUUAUGG